UGGCAAGAAGCCUCCCAUGCAGGAUGAAGCCAAGGAAGAAGAGAAGAGAGGAAGGACACGCCCAUUAACCAAAGGACCCAAAACAUAUCUCAAGGAGCUCAUGAAGUCAUCCUCAUGCACACAGUUUCCCAGGUGUCAGAUCUGUUUGAUUCAAAAAUGUGCUCCCCUCUACUUCCAGGACAAUCUCUCUAAGACAAGAAUCUGACUGCCUUACUCAUAUUGUAAAGUUAAGUUAGUGAACCACCAUUGUUCUAAGGGAAAACAUUCUAAAUUCCUCAUGAUCUGGCCCCUGCUUCUAUUUCCAGCCAACUUCUUACCGCCCACUUCUUUGUGCUCUACUCCAACUAUAUUCUGCCUAGCGUUUGAAAAUACUGCUUUUUCCAUCUAAAAUAAUAACUUCCUUUUACUGAUAACACUGACCUAGGCAGAGUCCUAAGAAGGUGGCCUGUAUAUCCUCUAGGGCCACAAACCUAAGAAGAACAUCAUGUGAGGAUGAAGGCAGAGAGCAGGGUGAUGCAGCUGAAGCCAAGGACACUGAAGACUUCCUGCAAACCCCCAGAAGCUGGGGCAGAGGCCCUCCAGUCUCCAGAAGAGGCCAACCAUGCUGAUACCUUGACCUUGGACUCCUAGCCCCAGAACUAUGAGAAAUAAAUUUCUGUUAUUUAAGUC
Molecule: long non-coding RNA, 669 nt
Filed under: Homo sapiens (human)
Lineage: Eukaryota; Metazoa; Chordata; Mammalia; Primates; Hominidae
Description: HSALNT0300906
Source: RNAcentral